RNAcentral lists this non-coding RNA (29 nucleotides) under Homo sapiens (human). Lineage: Eukaryota; Metazoa; Chordata; Mammalia; Primates; Hominidae. The record is from RNAcentral.
UGCCAAAUGAGGAAUGUUGGAGUUAGCGG